GGAGGGAUAGCUCAGUGGUAGAGCGCAUGCUUAGCGUGUGCGAGGUCCUGGGUUCAAUCCCCGGUACCUCCA
Camelus ferus (Wild Bactrian camel) is the source of this 72-nucleotide transfer RNA. It matches the Rfam family "tRNA". From Rfam's summary of the family: Transfer RNA (tRNA) molecules are approximately 80 nucleotides in length. Lineage: Eukaryota; Metazoa; Chordata; Mammalia; Artiodactyla; Camelidae. The record is from Rfam.